Molecule: unclassified non-coding RNA, 390 nt
Filed under: soil metagenome
Description: partial contains 5.8S ribosomal RNA, internal transcribed spacer 2, and large subunit ribosomal RNA
Rfam family: 5.8S ribosomal RNA (bases 1-122)
Source: RNAcentral
GAUGAAGAACGUAGCGAAAUGCGAUACUUGGUGUGAAUUGCAGAAUCCCGUGAACCAUCGAGUCUUUGAACGCAAGUUGCGCCCGAAGCCACUAGGCCGAGGGCACGCCUGCCUGGGCGUCACACGUCGUUGCCCCCCCAUCUACUCCUUCGGGAUUGCGGGGGCGGAUGAUGGCCUCCCGUGCGCCUCGCCGCGCGGUUGGCAUAAAUGCCAAGUCCUCGGCGACGCACGCCACGACAAUCGGUGGUUGCGAAACCUCGGUUGCCCGUCGUGUGCGGUCGUCGCGCAUCGAGGGCUCGAAAAAAUUGCCGGGUUCCGGCUCGGCUUUCAACGCGACCCCAGGUCAGGCGGGGUUACCCGCUGAAUUUAAGCAUAUCAAUAAGCGGAGGA